GCCAUAACAGCAGCCUGCCCAGGCUCCCUGGGUGUUGGGCUCGGCGGCUCGGGCGGUCUGUCUGCUGUUCCUGUCGUCAACGAUUUCUCGGUGUUCACUUCGUGGAAAAGCGCACGCCGUCGAAAUGCCCAGCUACGGUAGCUACUGCUGCGUAGCGUGGUGCUCUAACAACGGAAGAACGUGCAAGAAACCGGGAACAAAGUUUUUCCGGGUUCCACGGGACAGCAGGUCUAAGGCGUGGGUCGAGUACGCCAAGAGACAUGACCUCAUGGACAAACCGGCGGCGCGCCUAUAUGCGAGCUACUACGUGUGCAGCGACCACUUCACUGUACACGACUUCAUGGACCCUGGACGAACGAGGCUCACAAAAACAGCAGUGCCCAGUGUUCGUCCCC
Molecule: long non-coding RNA, 395 nt
Organism: Ixodes scapularis (black-legged tick)
Lineage: Eukaryota; Metazoa; Arthropoda; Arachnida; Ixodida; Ixodidae
Exons: 3
Source: RefSeq, a predicted model, not a curated record